This 69-nucleotide small RNA is filed under the name Spisula solidissima (Atlantic surf clam). Lineage: Eukaryota; Metazoa; Mollusca; Bivalvia; Venerida; Mactridae. The record is from RNAcentral.
CUCAGGAAGACUAAUCAGAUAUCAUUGUACAUCAAUAACAUUUAGAUAUAGGGUAUUAGAAACUCAUUA